CGUAGGUGAACCUGCGGAAGGAUCAUGA
RNAcentral lists this non-coding RNA (28 nucleotides) under Drosophila erecta. The record is from RNAcentral. RNAcentral also lists the same sequence under 1 other name. Lineage: Eukaryota; Metazoa; Arthropoda; Insecta; Diptera; Drosophilidae.